CGGUCGGAUAAGUCUUGUGUGAAAUCUUCGGGCUCAACUCGAAGUCUGCACUAGAUACUGUCCGGCUUGAGUGUGGGAGAGGUGAGUGGAAUUCCUGGUGUAGCGGUGAAAUGCGUAGAUAUCAGGAGGAACACCUGUGGCGAAAGCGGCUCACUGGACCACAACUGACGCUGAGGAGCGAAAGCUAGGGGAGCAAACAGGAUUAGAUACCCUGGUAGUCCUAGCCCUAAACGAUGAUUGCUUGGUGUGACGGGUACCCCAUCCCUCCGUGCCGCACCUAACGCGUUAAGCCAUCCGCCUGGGGAAUACCGUCGCCAGGGUGAAACUCAAAAGAAUUGACGGGGGCCCGCACCAGCCGUGGAACAUGUGGUUUAAUUCCACUCCACGCCAAAAACCUUACCUGGGCUCUAAAUGUACCGCAAUCCUGUAGAAGUAUCGACGCCCAUCAAUGGGCCGCUAUAUAGGUGCUGCAUGGCUGUCGUCACCUCGUGUCAUGAGAUGUUGGGUUAACUCCCGCAACGAGCGCAACCCUUGUUACCUGUU
This 543-nucleotide ribosomal RNA is filed under the name uncultured bacterium. RNAcentral's name for it is "bacterial SSU rRNA". It matches the Rfam family "Bacterial small subunit ribosomal RNA", at positions 576 to 1116 of the family's 1533-position model. The record is from RNAcentral.